Molecule: long non-coding RNA, 541 nt
Organism: Micropterus dolomieu (smallmouth bass)
Lineage: Eukaryota; Metazoa; Chordata; Actinopteri; Centrarchiformes; Centrarchidae
Exons: 3
Source: RefSeq, a predicted model, not a curated record
ACUACAACCUCUGGAAAAAGAAGGGUAUAAUAUAUAUUUAUUCGCAGUUAUCUCUCGUAAAUUGGCAUUAGCCAAAACUCUUCGGAGACAUUUUGUAUCCCAUGAUGCACCGCUGCUACCUACUUCCAUGUUCAAAACAGUGGAGAGGAAACGGCCGUCAAUGAACACAGCGCCCCUACUGGUCGAAGGGCAAAACGACAUAUGUGAAAACUGCAGCACCUCCAACCAAAGCGAACCCAAGGGAAGAAGCCAAGGCAGCAGCUUGCAUGGCAGCAUCACCUCUGAAGAGGAGGGGGAGGGAAGACAGGAAUAGCAACUGCAACAAUACCAGCCAACCCACCCAGGAUGCCAGGCAUGCCGUACAGAUUGUGGACACCACAGGUAUCUUGGAUGCCCAGGUGGGAUGCCAGGAUGGGCUACAGAGGCAAGAAAAAAAGGCCUGUUGUUGCAAAGGAGUGUCUUUUUAAAGGGUGACAAAUUUUAUAUUACUUUCCUUUCCUUAGUUUCAACUCACACUUAGGUGCUUGAAGCCCUGGGAAGA